This 261-nucleotide ribosomal RNA is filed under the name uncultured prokaryote. Its description in RNAcentral is "partial 16S ribosomal RNA". It matches the Rfam family "Bacterial small subunit ribosomal RNA", at positions 524 to 784 of the family's 1533-position model. The record is from RNAcentral.
UACGGAGGAUGCAAGCGUUAUCCGGAUUUACUGGGCGUAAAGGGAGCGUAGGCGGACUUUUAAGUGAGAUGUGAAAUACCCGGGCUCAACUUGGGUGCUGCAUUUCAAACUGGAAGUCUAGAGUGCAGGAGAGGAGAAUGGAAUUCCUAGUGUAGCGGUGAAAUGCGUAGAGAUUAGGAAGAACACCAGUGGCGAAGGCGAUUCUCUGGACUGUAACUGACGCUGAGGCUCGAAAGCGUGGGGAGCAAACAGGAUUAGAUA